This 465-nucleotide ribosomal RNA is filed under the name Vreelandella stevensii. RNAcentral's name for it is "partial 16S ribosomal RNA". It matches the Rfam family "Bacterial small subunit ribosomal RNA", at positions 338 to 795 of the family's 1533-position model. The record is from RNAcentral. Lineage: Bacteria; Pseudomonadati; Pseudomonadota; Gammaproteobacteria; Oceanospirillales; Halomonadaceae.
CCUACGGGAGGCAGCAGUGGGGAAUAUUGGACAAUGGGCGAAAGCCUGAUCCAGCCAUGCCGCGUGUGUGAAGAAGGCCUUCGGGUUGUAAAGCACUUUCAGUGGGGAAGAAAGCCUUGGGGCUAAUACCCUCGAGGAAGGACAUCACCCACAGAAGAAGCACCGGCUAACUCCGUGCCAGCAGCCGCGGUAAUACGGAGGGUGCGAGCGUUAAUAGGAAUUACUGGGCGUAAAGCGCGCGUAGGCGGUCUGAUAAGCCGGUUGUGAAAGCCCCGGGCUCAACCUGGGAACGGCAUCCGGAACUGUCAGGCUAGAGUGCAGGAGAGGAAGGUAGAAUUCCCGGUGUAGCGGUGAAAUGCGUAGAGAUCGGGAGGAAUACCAGUGGCGAAGGCGGCCUUCUGGACUGACACUGACGCUGAGGUGCGAAAGCGUGGGUAGCAAACAGGAUUAGAUACCCUGGUAGUC